GUGCUGGUGGCGCCGGCGGAGGAGCAAGGAGGAACCUCUCUAUGAAGUUUCUUUCCACAGCACUGCAGAUGUCGCCCUGCUGCACACUGAGGUGGAAGUCCCUGUCAAGUGCCUACAUGAGGAAAUGCGCUCUAACACUGAAAAGACCACCAUGAAAGACAGGAAAAAUCCUGAGUAUGAGAACCUUGUGACUGCGAUGGAACCACAAUAUGAAACAGAAGGAAUUUAGUAAAGUACCAGCUUUUCCACAUAAGCAGCCAUGCAGGGCUGCAGGUACUGAGUAGUGAAUUUAACAGAAGGAAACUCUUCCUCCUGUUGUCCCUCUGUGCUGCUCUCACUGCUUGUUUUAACCCAGAGGAGCUGCAUAACCUUUUUGUCUUUGGCAGACCAGGCCCUGCCUGCAGGAGCAGAAAAUCCGCAGCCAACUGCUUGUCUACCCACUUCUAUAGAGCAAGUUGUUUCUGAGCAACCUGAAGGACUAUGGGCAGGAAGAGGGGAUCUGAAGGAGUGAAAACAUGAAAUUCUUUAGCCUGUAGAUCCAGAAGUAGUUGGUGCAAUGCUUCUGGUCAGUAACACUAGCAAGGGGUACUCUCCAAUGUGUGUUCCUGUUAAGACAUUCCAUGCUGCAAGGAACCAGGAUUGUGCUGGAAAUGGGGAUCCUCUGGCUUUUGCAGCUCAGCAAAUACUGUUUGUACAUCCUGGCUGUCCUUGAGUUUUUCUUUUUUUUGUAACAGUAUGGUAAAGGAACCACAGAGAGGAGGUUGAUGUCCCAAGAAAUAUAACUUCUGCUAUCAGACUGACCUGUUGCUGACCUGUCAUGCAACAUGGGUGCAGUUCCUGUCUUCAGAUCCAGUGUAUUCCCUACAGUAAGCUGUCACUCAGCAGCUUGAUUUGCCUAGUCACUGUUAAUUGUUUGCCUCUUGCCUGUACUGCAGUGCUGCUGUCAGCUCUGUCCUCCCUGUCUGUGCCUCCAGCCAGCAUUCCUUUGUCCUCCAGGUUUGGCAGGAAGGAGGAAUGCCUCCUGGC
This is a long non-coding RNA of Hirundo rustica (Barn swallow), 1026 nucleotides long. RefSeq lists it as uncharacterized. NCBI's taxonomy places the organism in Eukaryota, Metazoa, Chordata, Aves, Passeriformes, Hirundinidae. The transcript has 3 exons. The record is from RefSeq and is a predicted model, not a curated record.